This 253-nucleotide ribosomal RNA is filed under the name uncultured bacterium. RNAcentral's name for it is "partial 16S ribosomal RNA". It matches the Rfam family "Bacterial small subunit ribosomal RNA", at positions 524 to 776 of the family's 1533-position model. The record is from RNAcentral.
UACGUAGGGCGCAAGCGUUGUCCGGAAUCAUUGGGCGUAAAGAGCUCGUAGGCGGUCUGUCGCGUCUGCUGUGAAAACUCAGGGCUUAACCCUGAGCUUGCAGUGGGUACGGGCAGACUAGAGUCCGGAAGAGGAGAGUGGAAUUCCUGGUGUAGCGGUGAAAUGCGCAGAUAUCAGGAAGAACACCCGUGGCUAAGGCGGCUCUCUAGUACGGUACUGACGCUGAGACGCGAAAGCGUGGGGAGCGAACAGG